RNAcentral lists this ribosomal RNA (255 nucleotides) under uncultured bacterium. RNAcentral's name for it is "partial 16S ribosomal RNA". It matches the Rfam family "Bacterial small subunit ribosomal RNA", at positions 524 to 776 of the family's 1533-position model. The record is from RNAcentral.
GACAGAGGGUGCAAACGUUUGUUCGGAUUUAUUGGGCGUAAAGAGCGUGUAGGCGGCCAGGUAGGUCUGCUGUGAAAACUCGAGGCUCAACCUCGAGACGUCGGCGGAAACCAUCUGGCUAGAGUCCGGGAAGAGGAGAGUGGAAUUCCUGGUGUAGCGGUGAAAUGCGCAGAUAUCAGGAAGAACACCCGUGGCGAAGGCGGCUCUCUGGGACGGUACUGACGCUGAGACGCGAAAGCGUGGGGAGCGAACAGG